ACUUACUGUUGUUGUUGCUGUUGCUGCUGCUACUGCUGAUGCAAAAUUUAAGUGUCAGGAUCCUUUUAAAGUUUGCAUGAAAUUAUGUUGUGAUAAAAAUUAUAUUUAUAAUUUUCAAUUACAAAAAUGUGUCCAAACCAUUCAUUUAAAUUUAUCGUGGACGAAGACUCUGCAAAUUAAUAAUAUAACUAAAUCCGAGAAUUUGCUUGAUAAAAUCGAUUUUGAACAAGUCUUACCUUGUAACACAUCGAGAAAUUUUGCAAAUUACGAUUAUGAUAUGCUGGAAAUGAAGUAUGUUUCUGGAAAUUAUUGUUUCACACCCUUCUAUGCCAGAGAGCGUAGGCAACAUGUCCUCUUGCCUAUCUCUACGAAUUGCAAUGAGACAUUGAAUAGUGAGGAAAUAUUCAUUGAGCCUUUCACAAACCCCUAUUUGUCCAUGAUCUUUAUGAUCAUAUCACUAACAAUGGUCUGUUCCCUGAUGAUCAUGUAUAUGUACGGAAAAAUUAAGGACUGGGGCCAAAAUGUUAUGACCAAUCUGCUGAUAAGUUAUGGCGCAGCCCUGAUAAUACAAUUACUUCUUAUGAUGUUUCUUUUUUUAUAAUUUGCUAUAUCCAAACUUAAUGACAAAACAUGAUGCAUUGUUCUAUAUUUUGGCGGAGCCGGCUUACUGUGGUUCAAUGUCAUUUGUUAUGAAUUACCAGGUGCUUUUUUAAAUAUUUCAAAAAGCUGGAUCAAAACUCUAUGUUAUUCGUUGUUUGUGUGGCUGCUGGCAUUACCACUGAUGUUCCUGCAUGUACACCUUGCGAAUAUGGGUUUUGCAUAUGCCAUGGGAUUUGGUGUCUCCCUUUUGCCGAUAAAUUUAAUAUGUUUUACGGUAAUGAUCUUUAAAAAGUAUGGCUUUUUAAAAUGGAGACAUGUGGACAUACGGAUGUAUUUACAAAUUGGACUAAAACUGAUCCUCAUAUUGGGACAAUCAAGCAUCAACUACUUCAUUGCUAUGGCGAUUAGUUUAAGUGUAAAACAAACAAAAUUAAUUGCAUUUAUGCACACUAUAAGUUUAGUCUAUCUGACCGAUGUUAUAUUGAUUUUAUUUGUUUGGAAAUUUCAUGAUAUUUUGAAAUCAAUAUUCGGUUGUUGUGGUUCAAAAGUUUCGGCAGAUCAUGCUUCGAUAACUGAUGGCGGCGUUAUUUGAAUAUAAGCAAAAAUCAUUUUGUUUUGAUUUCAAAAUCAUUAUAAAACUGUUGAUAUUAAAAAAGAGCACUGUAGUCUAACAUGAACUAAUUGCAGGAAGUAAAUAAGGGUAACUGACAAACCCACUUUGUAAAAAAAAAACUUUAUUCCUACAACAUUUUGUAACACAAUAAUUGUCUAUCAAUGGUCCAAUAAGACGAAACCCACGUUUCACAAUAAAACAAUGCUCUCCAUUAGGUAA
This is an RNA transcript of Musca domestica (house fly), 1432 nucleotides long. RefSeq lists it as uncharacterized. The record is from RefSeq and is a predicted model, not a curated record. The transcript is spliced from 7 exons. NCBI's taxonomy places the organism in Eukaryota, Metazoa, Arthropoda, Insecta, Diptera, Muscidae.